Molecule: ribosomal RNA, 257 nt
Filed under: Klebsiella pneumoniae
Lineage: Bacteria; Pseudomonadati; Pseudomonadota; Gammaproteobacteria; Enterobacterales; Enterobacteriaceae
Description: partial 16S ribosomal RNA
Rfam family: Bacterial small subunit ribosomal RNA
Source: RNAcentral
AAAUUGAAGAGUUUGAUCAUGGCUCAGAUUGAACGCUGGCGGCAGGCCUAACACAUGCAAGUCGAGCGGUAGCACAGAGAGCUUGCUCUCGGGUGACGAGCGGCGGACGGGUGAGUAAUGUCUGGGAAAUUGCCUGAUGGAGGGGGAUAACUACUGGAAACGGUAGCUAAUACCGCAUAACGUCGCAAGACCAAAGUGGGGGACCUUCGGGCCUCAUGCCAUCAGAUGUGCCCAGAUGGGAUUAGCUAGUAGGUGGG